Molecule: non-coding RNA, 137 nt
Organism: Ornithorhynchus anatinus (platypus)
Lineage: Eukaryota; Metazoa; Chordata; Mammalia; Monotremata; Ornithorhynchidae
Gene: MIR30A
Product: microRNA mir-30a
Exons: 1
Source: RefSeq, marked provisional
GAGUGGAUAUUGGCACUGACAGUGAGCGACUGUAAACAUCCUCGACUGGAAGCUGUGAAGCAGCAGAUGGGGCUUUCAGUCGGAUGUUUGCAGCUGCCUACUGCCUUAGACUUCAAGAAAUGUUAAUAUAGUUGCUU